This 492-nucleotide ribosomal RNA is filed under the name uncultured bacterium. RNAcentral's name for it is "partial 16S ribosomal RNA". It matches the Rfam family "Bacterial small subunit ribosomal RNA", at positions 28 to 507 of the family's 1533-position model. The record is from RNAcentral.
GAUGAACGCUCGCUACAGGCUUAACACAUGCAAGUCGAGGGGAAACGGCAUCGAAAGCUUGCUUUUGAUGGGCGUCGACCGGCGCACGGGUGAGUAACGCGUAUCCAACCUGCCCAUCACUUGGGAAUAACCUUGCGAAAGUAAGACUAAUGCCCAAUGACAUCCCACGAAGGCAUCCGAAUGGGAUUAAAGAUUUAUCGGUGAUGGAUGGGGAUGCGUCUGAUUAGCUUGUUGGCGGGGUGACGGCCCACCAAGGCAACGAUCAGUAGGGGUUCUGAGAGGAAGGUCCCCCACAUUGGAACUGAGACACGGUCCAAACUCCUACGGGAGGCAGCAGUGAGGAAUAGUGGUCAAUGGGCGAGAGCCUGAACCAGCCAAGUAGCGUGCAGGAGGACGGCCCUAUGGGUUGUAAACUGCUUUUAUAAGGGAAUAAAGUGGGUCACGUGUGACUUUUUGCAUGUACCUUAUGAAUAAGGACCGGCUAAUUCCGUG